This 259-nucleotide ribosomal RNA is filed under the name uncultured bacterium. Its description in RNAcentral is "partial 16S ribosomal RNA". It matches the Rfam family "Bacterial small subunit ribosomal RNA", at positions 96 to 354 of the family's 1533-position model. The record is from RNAcentral.
UGGCGGACGGGUGAGUAACGCGUGGAAAACCUGCCGUAUACUGGGGGAGUAACACUUAGAAAUAGGUGCUAAUACCGCAUAAGCGCACAGCUUCGCAUGAAGCGGUGUGAAAAACUCUGGUGGUAUACGAUGGUUCCGCGUCUGAUUAGCUAGUUGGUGGGGUAAUGGCCUACCAAGGCAACGAUCAGUAGCCGGCCUGAGAGGGUGAACGGCCACAUUAGGACUGAGACACGGCCCAAACUCCUACGGGAGGCAGCAG